AGGAACGAGCCUCCGCGCAGCUGCAAUUUGGUUGGGGUGACUUCGAGCAGCGCGCGGUUGGAGGGACGUCGCCUUGGGCCACUGGCGGCUCGAGGCGACAACCCGCCCCCCCCGCCCCCCGCGAAGCCUUGACACUAGGCCCAAUGGAGGGGCGCGCGGGAGGUGGGUGGGGUCGGGAGACCGGGUAAGCCGCCGGCGGGUCGAGGAGGGGUGCGUGUCCCUUGUGGCAACUAGGAAACCGAGAACGAAGGCCAACGCUUCCUGGGCACGGGAGCUCGAAAGGCAUCUGGUUUCACUGCUGUUCUUUGGAAAACUCACAGUGCAAUGUGCUUCGUGACUGAACAGGCAUCUUGUGAUCCUGGGAAUGUCGAUUCAUUCAUUUGGCGAGUGUUUCUAUGGUCUUGGAGGGCCUUCUGUAUGCCAGACACCGUGCUAGGCGUUGGCGCUGCAGUCCUGACACACAUACACCUGAUUUCUGCCUUCACAGAACUUACAGUCUGAAGAGGGAAAGCGAGAAAACAAACAGGGAGACAUCAAGUUGAGAGACAUCAUUUUUGGAGUCACCAUCGUGUGCAUGGGACUUAAAGCCGUGAGGAUGAGAUCACCUAAGAAGGAGAGGGAGAAGCAGGCUCCCCACUGAGCAGGGACCCGACUCAGGGCUGGAUCCCAGGACCCUGGGACCAUGACUGGAACAGAAGGCAGAUGAUUAAUCGACUGAACUACCCAGGUUCCCCCAUAAGGCCUUUCCCACACUCUUCCCUCUGCCAUCUGACUCAGGAGACUGACCUGAGUGGACCAGACAGUGCUGAGCUGAUGGGCCCCAACAAAGAGGAAGGACAAGGAAACAAGAGAAUGAACUCCCCACCGGCUCCCUUAAAGCUGGCUGCACCUGACCUCCGGAGAUCACAGCCCCUCUCAAAGUGACCCUCUCCACAAAACAUUUUUGAAUCACCUUCUCUGGGUUUUGUUAACAAUAAUGCUUCCCUGUGUCCCUUCAGCCUACAGAGAGCAGCCCCAGGAUACUGCCCUGUCCUGUUUGCUUUUCUCCUCUUCUCCCCUUCCCACAUUUCUGAAAAUGGCCCAUUUAAUCAACCUAUUGGGACUAUUUUCAUUUGAGUGUGCCAUCUGUUUCCUGCUGGAUGUCUGACUCAUUCUGUAUACCCUCAACAAACACAACCCACACCAUCACAAAAUGAGAGUUGUAAGUAUUUGUUUUGUUGAUUCUGAUGGUUAAAUGGUCCAGAAAAUAUUGGCAUGGCUCACCUCUGGUACUUAACACUGCAUUGCUCAGAUACUUCACAAUCCCUGUCAGAAGGAGAAAGAAACUUCACUAGUGAACUUUGGUAGUAAUGUUCAUCUUCAAUGGCUUAUGAACUAAAAGAGUUAUAGUACUCUUUCCUUUAAAGUUCAGAUUUUUAUCCAUGACAGCUCUCAUGUUAGGUAAAUCUGUGCCAGAGCUACUUUAUUUUAAUUUGGGAGAGAGAGAAUCUCAAGCAGACUCCUGAUGAUGAGCACAGAGCCCGACUCAGGUCCCUGUUUCAUGACCCUGAGAUCAUGACCUGCGCCAAAACCAAGGGUCUGACACUUAACUGACUGAGCCACCCAGUUGCCCCACAGAGCUAUUUUAAUAAUAGCAUGAAUCAGAGCACAUGUCUUGCUCGAUCAGUAAAGCAAGCAACUUUUUUUUUUUAAGAGUUUAUUUAUUUAUUUAUAAAAGACACAGACAGAGAGGCAGAGAUACAGGCAGAGGGAGAAGCAGGCUCCAUGCAGGGAGCCCGAUGUGGGACUCAAUCCUGGGACUCCAGGAUCACACUCUGGGCCAAAGGCAGGUGCUAAACCGCUGAGCCACCCAGGUGUCCCAAGCAGGCAACUUUUGAUCUUGGACUUAUAAGUUCAAGCAGUGGAUGUAGAGACUACUUAAAAAUUAAAUCUUUAAAAAAUUUUUCUAUUAAGAAAAUAAUAAUAGCAUGAACAGAUGAUAUAAGAGCUAGUUGUAUAUUUUCCCUUGGUGGGUGUUAUUAACUCACAGGCUAUGGAUGAAAUAAGAACUCUGGUAAUUAAAACAUGUUUAAAAUAGCCAACAUUUGGGGAUGCCUCGGUAGCUCAGUGGUUGAGUGUCUGCCCUCAGCUCAGGGCAUGAUCCCAGGGUUCAGGAUCAGGUCCCACAUUGGCUCCUUGUCGGGAGCCUGCUUCUUUCUCCCUCUUUCUGUGUCUCUGCCUCUCUCUGUCUCUCAUGAAUAAUACUAAUAAUAAAAAUAGCCAACUUUUCUGAGCACUCAAGUUACUCCCUACCUAUAACACAAGCACAUGUAAAAACUGAAAUAAUUCCUCCAAGCCUUUGGGCACAUCAUUUGGCAAGUAACUUUCAGGCUGUGCUUAGUCUAAGUUUUCAUUUCCUACAGAAUAAGUGUUUUGAGCAUUAAGGAGAUAAAUGGAGGAGGUAAAUGGGUUGAGGCAGAAUUAUUAGGUUAAUUAUUUCCUUGUAGAAGGAAUGCUUCAAACUUGAUAAAAGGAAAUAGGUGAAGAUGACCAAGGGUUGACUCAAACCACUAUAUCAUUUUCUUGAUAGGCUUCUCCUUCUGACUUUCAGUUGGACAUGUUUUGCUCUUACAGAGGCGAGGGUGUGGAUCAGGAAGUAAAAAAAAAAAAAAAAAA
Molecule: long non-coding RNA, 2655 nt
Filed under: Canis lupus familiaris (dog)
Lineage: Eukaryota; Metazoa; Chordata; Mammalia; Carnivora; Canidae
Description: lncRNA (ENSCAFG00000058155.1)
Source: RNAcentral